Molecule: ribosomal RNA, 471 nt
Filed under: uncultured bacterium
Lineage: Bacteria
Description: SSU rRNA
Rfam family: Bacterial small subunit ribosomal RNA
Source: RNAcentral
AGGAUAAACGCUGGCGGCGUGCCUAACACAUGCAAGUCGAACGUCUCUUCUUUCGGGAAGAGGAGUGGCGGACGGGUGAGGAACACGUGGGAACCUGCCCUUCAGUGAGGAAUACCGGCGAGAAAUCGCCGACAAGACCGCAUAGCCCUCUCUGGUGAGAGCCAGAGAAGGAAAGCCUCGCAAGAGGCGCUGGAGGAGGGGCCUGCGUCCGAUUAGCUAGUUGGUGGGGUAAGGCCUACCAAGGCGUCGAUCGGUAGCUGGUCUGAGAGGACGAUCAGCCACACUGGGAUUGAGAACGGCCCAGACUCCUACGGGGGGCAGCAGUGAGGAAUUUUCGGCAAUGGGGGAAACCCUGACCGAGCAACGCCGCGUGCAGGAAGACGGCCUUCGGGUUGUAAACUGCUUUUCUUUGGGUACGAGCAAGGACGGUACCAGAGGAAUCAGCCCGGCUAACUACGCGCCAGCAGCCGC